GGGGGUAGAGUAUCUAAAAAGUAUAUUUUAAGGGGUUUUCAACAAUUUUCCCAAACAAAUAAUAUUGUAUUGUUUUUUAUACUGGGUUAAAUAGGUGUGAUGUUUAAGUAUUUAAUGAAGAAAUUUAUAUGGUAUAUUGUCACCAUACCAUAGCUUAAGUAUUUAAUGAAUAAAUUUAUAGAGUAUAUUUGUCACCAUACGAUAGUUAAAGUAUUUAAUGAAUAAGUUUAUAUAGUAUAUUUGUUUUUGGUAUGUAAUAAGUAGAUGUGAUGUUUCUCAAAGUAUUUAAUGGGUAGAUUUAUGUGGUACAUUUUCAUUUAGUAUAUACUAGUUAAUUAUGUAUUUAAUAUUGGAUGAUUGGAUAAGAGUCACGGGGCAUCUAAAUUAAUUGACUUAAUUAUAUCAAUCUAGUAAAGAUUUUAUGGAUGAAUUAGUUAUUGAUGGCUUUGACAUAGUUUUUCUUUUUUAGAAUUUCAAAAUUUCUAAUAUUAUAAAUUUAUCCGAUUUUUUUACUUCGAUUUUUUUAGCCUAAUCCGAUAUAUUAGCGAUAUCCUUAUAUGAAGUAUUUUUGCUGAUCCGUAUUUUUUACCCGAUUUUUUCAUCCGACUUUUUAAAAUAAAAAUGAUUUGUUUCCAAUUUUAUAGUGAACUGAUUUAUUGAUAAUCCAUGACUUGCUAAUUAUGAUUAGAGCUCUAUUGUUCUUUUCUUUGUUUCUAUUCCAGUGGACCUGGCCGGUUCAUACAAACUUAGUUUUGUACCUAGGUUAGCUCGAAAGAGAUUUAUAGUACAUGGUUUAUUUUUUAGGAUUGUAUGGAAUGAGACCAUUUACUUUUGAUACAAGGUGGUCACAGUUCCUUAAAACCAUUUAAUGUGAAAUUUG
RNAcentral lists this long non-coding RNA (880 nucleotides) under Amborella trichopoda. Its description in RNAcentral is "long non-coding RNA (ATRI_LNC001313)". The record is from RNAcentral. Lineage: Eukaryota; Viridiplantae; Streptophyta; Magnoliopsida; Amborellales; Amborellaceae.